GAUGAACGCUAGCGGCAGGCCUAAUACAUGCAAGUCGGACGGGAUUCAGGAGCUUGCUUCUGAUGAGAGUGGCGCACGGGUGCGUAACACGUAUGUAACCUACCUUUAUCAGGGGGAUAGCCUCUCGAAAGAGAGAUUAAGCCCGCAUAAAAUCACAGCACAGCAUUGUGUACUGAUCAAAUAUUUAUAGGAUAAAGAUGGGCAUGCGGAACAUUAGCUAGAUGGCGGGGUAACGGCCCACCAUGGCGACGAUGUUUAGGGGAUCUGAGAGGAUGGCCCCCCACACUGGUACUGAGACACGGACCAGACUCCUACGGGAGGCAGCAGUAAGGAAUAUUGGUCAAUGGGCGGAAGCCUGAACCAGCCAUGCCGCGUGCAGGAAGACGGCCCUACGGGUUGUAAACUGCUUUUAUACGGGAAUAAACCCAGAUACGUGUAUCUGGCUGAAUGUACUGUAAGAAUAAGGAUCGGCUAACUCCGUG
Molecule: ribosomal RNA, 482 nt
Filed under: uncultured bacterium
Lineage: Bacteria
Description: partial 16S ribosomal RNA
Rfam family: Bacterial small subunit ribosomal RNA
Source: RNAcentral